UACGAAGGGGGCUAGCGUUGCUCGGAAUGACUGGGCGUAAAGGGCGCGUAGGCGGCUCAUACAGUCAGAUGUGAAAUUCCUGGGCUUAACCUGGGGGCUGCAUUUGAUACGUGUGGGCUUGAGUGCGGCAGAGGAGACUGGAAUUCCUGGUGUAGCAGUGAAAUGCGUAGAUAUCAGGAGGAAUACCGAUGGCGAAGGCAGGUCUCUGGGCUGACACUGACGCUCAUGCACGAAAGCGUGGGGAGCAAACAGG
This 253-nucleotide ribosomal RNA is filed under the name uncultured bacterium. Its description in RNAcentral is "partial 16S ribosomal RNA". It matches the Rfam family "Bacterial small subunit ribosomal RNA", at positions 524 to 776 of the family's 1533-position model. The record is from RNAcentral.